CCCUUAGAUGUUCUGGGCCGCACGCGCGCUACACUGAUGCAUUCAACGAGUCUAAAACCUGGUCUGAGAGGGCUGGGUAAUCUUUUGAAAGUGCAUCGUGAUUGGGAUAGAUGAUUGCAAUUCUUCAUCUUCAACGAGGAAUGCCUAGUAAACGCAAGUCAUCAGCUUGCAUUGAUUACGUCCCUGCCCUUUGUACACACCGCCCGUCGCUCCUACCGAUUGAACGAUCCGAUGAAAACUGUGGAUUGAGAGUCUGAGUGGGUUCGCCUACCUCAACUUUCGAGAGGCGGUUUAAAUCUUAUCGUUUAGAGGAAGGAGAAGUCGUAACA
RNAcentral lists this ribosomal RNA (329 nucleotides) under uncultured eukaryote. RNAcentral describes it as "partial 18S ribosomal RNA". It matches the Rfam family "Eukaryotic small subunit ribosomal RNA", at positions 1470 to 1796 of the family's 1831-position model. The record is from RNAcentral.